Molecule: long non-coding RNA, 3306 nt
Organism: Sapajus apella (tufted capuchin)
Lineage: Eukaryota; Metazoa; Chordata; Mammalia; Primates; Cebidae
Exons: 5
Source: RefSeq, a predicted model, not a curated record
AGAUUUUAUUUCUCUGAAAUGAGGUGCCUCCACACCAUGUUUGCUAUUGACGCUCAGCUGCCGAAUUUCCUGGCCCUUUGCAUAGGGAAAUGAACAUUUUUGCAUUUGAAAAUCUUCACCUUCCUCCAGAUUGGCUUCGAUAGUGGCUCCAUCUGAGAUUUUUCCUAUUUACCAUUUGCCUGAGCACUGAUUUGGAGGAAGAAUCGUCUCUCCGCUGCCAGACAGGUGUGGGAGGGAGCAGACCAUGUGAACGGAACAGCACAUGCUCAUACGCUGACAUGGAAAGGAGCCAGAGGACCUGAAAAACAACCUGCAUUAACUCACUUAGGAGAGUGGCCUGACCUGAUCAGCCCUAACGCUUACACAGGCACAGUGCGGUCAGGGAUGGUGGUGUCGCAGGUUGAAGACAAGAAAGACAGAUGCGUGCCUGCAACCAGCUGUGAGAGCGCAGAGGCAAUGAUGAUGGAACAGAAGGCAAGAGGCUGUCAUCAUUCACAUCACAAGGACCAGAGACACCUUUCCUGGGAAGAGAGCUGACAAACCUUCCCUGGUGAGGGGUGAACAUCCUUGGGAAGCCACAGAGAGCAUGGCACAGUUUUUCAUUGAUCACCACCGUCAAGAUGCUGCCAGAAUCGUGCUGUCUAGGAAACCAUUUAAACUAGUGAGAAGAGGAUACAGCAUUUGACAACGGUUGUUUUGUUUCAAGACACACGCAUUAAAAAUACAUCUGAAAUCCGGGACACAAGGAAUCCAAAUAAUGUUAUUAAAUUUCUUGUCGAAGAGGGUCUCCGGGGACAGCUGGCUCCGCUCUUUACAAAAAACACGCAGAACUCGACUUGCCUGAACAGUGUCUUUGUAUCUCUUCUCUUCUCCCUCUCUCUUCCUGCUUUUUUCAUUUUCCACUUUCCUGUUUCUCCCGAGGAGACAAACAAAUCUCUAAAGGACUAUUAAGUUGCAAAUAUAUUGGAGCCAAAAAUAGAAGAUGGAGCCUUAUAAACAUUUUGCAUAUUUUGGUGUAAUUUGUUGAAAAUAGUGCAAAAUAUGCUCGCAGUUGGCAUCUAGAAUGCAAAUAUUAGGAAUCCAGUCCCCUGAUACAUUAUGGUUUUUCAGCAGUAUAGUGUGGGCUCGUCCAAUUGCUAUUGUGUGACUUUGUAGUUUGUUGGAGUGUGAAAAAUAUCAGUGACUUGUUUGUACAGUAUAUUAGGGAGAUACAUGUCGCCAAGUGUUAUUAGCUAUUCUAGAGACCUCAAGGGACAAAAAAGCCCAGAGUGGAACUCAGGGAGAAACAGAUGCAUGUAUUUUUAACGUGGUUGAUGCCAGUUGCUUUUCUGAGCAGUUUCCUUAAAAUAAAAACCAGGCCAGGGAUCAAAGUGUGCAGGGGGUUUCCGUGUUCCAGAACACGGGGGUUAAGUGGAGAGACUUUCAAUGGGGAGAUCUGUAGUACCUGUUUGAGCUGAUGGAACAGUCUCCCACCCAGGGCUUCAGUGAGCCUGAAUGGUUUUACUGCUGACAGUAAAUCUGUCUUUCCUUUCCCCUGACAGGUGAGAAGCCAUCCUCUCUCGAAUGGGGGCUCCCACUGUACAUCUGGCACCCACUUCGCAGAAUCACCCUAAGAAGGAUGUACGGAAGACUUGACUGAUUGGAGGAUCAAAAUAUGUUGGGGGGAAAAUGUACAAGGAGGACAAACCAAAAGAUCCACAAAAGAAGAGGCUGUCUUAUGAAAGGACUGAUCAUAGAACCAAGCCAAAUAGUACUGAUAAUUAACAUUACAAGACUGCAUCAAAAUAUUCUUAUUCUAGGGAGAAGAGCUGCACAAUAUAGAAAUAAUUACAGCUAAAAUUAGUAGGGUCAGAAAUAUCAGAGCACACAAAUUUAGAGAAAAGUGUGUGAUGAGGAUGGAACCAGAGAUAAUGAUAGUAUGUAGAAUCUUCAUCUUUUGUAGAAAAUACUAAAACAUCUUGCUUCAUAUCUGAAACUGAUAAUUGAUAAAUACAUGUUUAAAGAUUUUAUAUAAAGUUAAAACAUAGCCACCACCAGAAAUAUAAUCUAACUGUACUACAUCCAAAUUACCAGAUGGGAAAAAAAUAAAACAGACCUUAUAUAGAGCAAAAGAGAAAGAGGAAGAAAACAUUAAAAAGACAAAGUAUAAAAUACAGCAAAGUAAGAGUAAAUAUGUCUACUGUAGCAACAAAUACUCAGUUUAAUAGUUAAAUGAUCUUAUAGUUGUCCAAAACCCACAAGUUUUGCAGGUGUUGUAUUAAAGAGAGGUAUUUAAGAAUGGCCCAGUCUGAAGGUAAAAGUUUGGAGAUGUCAUACAAAUACAAGCAGAAAUAAAGUAGGGGUAAACACAAUGAUAUAUCAACGAGUUAAAAAUCACAUUAAAUGCUGAUUAGUAAUACAUUAAAGCCCUUGACAGCACAGAUUCUGCUUCAUACAUUGCUGGUGGAAAUAUAAAAUAGUGCAGCCACUCUGGAAAACAGUUUGGCAGUUCCUCAAGAAGUUAAAGAUAGUCUUACCAUAUGACCCAGCAAUUUUACUCCAAAGUGCAUAUCCAAGAGAAUUGAAAACAUAUGUUCACCCAAAAACGAGUAUAUGAAUGUUCAUAAAGGUAUUAUUCAUAUUAGCCCCAAAGUGGAAACAAUCCAAAUGUCUAUCAACUGAUGAAGGGAUAAAUAAAAUGUGGUAUAUCUAUACAAUGGAAUAUUAUUCAGCUAUGACAAGGAGUGAAGUAAUAACACUUGCUAAAAUAUGGAUGAACCUUAAAAGCAUUAUGGUAGGUGAAAGAAGUCUGGCACAAAAAGCCAUAUAUUGUAUGAUUCCAUUUAUAUGAAAUGUCCAGAAUAGGCAAAUCUAUAUAUAGAGAAAGCAGAUGAGUGAUUGAUAGGGGCGUGUGGGUGAGUGAGAUUAGUAUUGAUUGCUAAUGGUACAAGAUUUCUAUUUUGGGUAAUGAAAACGUUCUGUAAUUAGAUAGCAGUGAUGGCUACACAACACAGUGAAUAUGCUAAAACUCACUGAAAUGUAUUAUAUACUAAAACUCACUGAAAUGUAUUAUAUACUAAAACUCACUGAGUUGUAUUAUAUUUAAAGUGGCAAAUUUUAUAAGUGAAUUCUAUCUCAAAGCAAAUAAUUUUAAAAAGAGCAAGGAAUCUAGAACCAGGGUUGAAGAACACUUCUGACCCUCUCUUUAUGGUGCCUAGAGCUUGGUAUUAAAUGUCCUUGUACCUCAGUUCCUAAUCUGUAUAAUGAGAAUAAUAAUAUCUACCUCAUUUGUUGUUGCAGGAAUUAAAUGACUUAAUAUUUUUGAGA